AUGUGUUUAGGCUUGAGGUGCAACUUAGCACAUGAACCUGCUGGAUUUCUAACCAUGCCCGUUUCACAGGUUGACCUGGAAUACUUGCUAGAACUCUAUCCUCUUGAUAAGGAAGUUAACUGGGGUGAUGAGCUGUCCCUUGGUGAGCAACAAAGACUAGGAAUGGCCAGGUUAUUCUACCAUAAGCCAAAGUUUGCCAUACUUGAUGAGUGCACUAGUGCUGUAACGACUGAUAUGGAAGAACGUUUUUGCAAGAAGGUUCGAGCUAUGGGUACAUCUUGUAUAACAAUAUCUCAUCGCCCAGCUUUAGUUGCAUUUCAUGAUAUUGUUUUGUCCUUGGACGGUGAAGGCGACUGGAAUGUUCAGCACAGAAGGGAGGACUCUUCCUUUUCCACUGAAGAGUCUGAUUUUCAAUCAUUAGAAACUGAUCGCAAAUCUGAUGCACUGACUGUUCAAAGAGCUUUUAUGAGAAGGGCAAAGAACAAUCCUUCGUUGGGGUCCAAGGACCAUUCGUACUCUACAGAGGUCAUAGCAACUUCCCCUAAGGUGGAAAUAGAACAUGCAGUACGGACAUCUCGGGUUCCACAUUUGCGAUGCCACCCAAGACCUUUGCCUCUCAGAGUAGCUGCAAUGCUCAACAUACUAGUUCCUAAACUUCUUGAUAAACAAGGCGGGCAGUUGCUUGCUGUUGCUGUACUUGUUUUCUCUCGUACAUGGAUCUCUGAUCGUAUUGCUUCAUUGAAUGGGACAACUGUGAAGUUUGUCUUAGAGCAGGAUAAAGUUGCCUUCAUUCGCUUGAUUGGUGUCAGUAUUCUACAAAGUGCUGCAAAUUCUUUUGUGGCACCAACUCUUAGGACCCUUACCUCUAAACUUGCCCUUGGAUGGCGAAUUCGCUUGACCAAUCAUUUGCUUCGAUAUUAUUUGAAAAGAAAUGCAUUCUACAAGGUAUUCAACAUGUCAGGUAAAACUAUUGAUGCAGACCAAAGAUUAACACUUGAUGUAGACAAGUUGACCACUGAUCUUGCUGGCCUAGUUACUGGAAUGGUAAAACCAGUGGUUGACAUUAUUUGGUUUACAUGGAGAAUGAAGCUCUUGUCAGGACGAAGAGGAGUUGCUAUACUAUAUGCUUACAUGUUACUGGGUUUGGGCUUCCUGAGAGCAGUAUCCCCUGACUUUGGUCGUCUCUCGGGCCAAGAACAAGAACUUGAAGGAACAUUCAGGUUCAUGCACUCAAGACUGCGGACACAUGCUGAAUCAAUUGCUUUUAUUGGUGGUGGUUCAAGAGAGAAAGCUAUGGUUGAGGCUAAAUUCGUAAAGUUACUUAACCACUCAAAGAUUCUCUUGAGGAAACAGUGGCUUUAUGGUAUUGUUGAUGAUUUUGUUACAAAGCAACUUCCUCACAAUGUGACAUGGGGUCUUAGUCUAUUAUAUGCUUUGGAGUACAAGGGAGACAGAGCUUUGACCUCAACUCAAGGAGAGCUGGCACAUGCUCUACGAUUCUUGGCUUCAGUGGUUUCACAGAGCUUCAUAGCCUUUGGCGACAUUCUUGAGUUACAUAAGAAAUUCCUUGAACUCUCUGGUGGGAUUAACCGUAUCUUUGAGCUUGAGGAGCUUACAUGUGCCGCUCAAAGGAAUACCAUGGUGUCUUCCAAUGCCAUCAGUGCAGCCUCAGAAGAUAUUAUUUCAAUUCAUGAAGUGGACAUCAUAACACCAUCACAGAAGCUAUUGGCUAGUAAACUGUCAUGCAAUGUAGUACAAGGGAAAAGCCUAUUUCUGACUGGUCCCAAUGGUAGUGGAAAGAGUUGUAUAUUUAGAGUGCUUAGAGAUUUGUGGCCCAUCUUCUCUGGGAGAGUUAUCAAGCCCUCUGAAGGGAUGUUCCAUGUCCCUCAGCGUCCAUAUACCAGCCUAGGUACUCUGCGGGAUCAGAUCAUAUACCCUCGCUCACGGGAGGAAGCAGAGAUGAAAGUUCUCUCACUACAUCAAGCUGGCAACAAGGCUAGUGCUUCCAUCCUGCUUGAUGAUCACCUGAAGACAAUUCUAGAGAAUGUGCGGCUGGUGUAUCUUCUAGAAAGAGAAGGGUGGGAUUCUACACCAAACUGGGAAGAUGUUCUGUCACUAGGGGGACAACAGAAGCUUGGGGUGGCCCGUUUGUUUUUCCAGCAUCCUAAGUAUGGCAUCCUCGACGAGUGCACCAAUGCUACUAGUGUUGAUGUUGAAGAACAUCUGUACAGGCUUGCAACUAACAUGGGCAUAACUGUGAUCACUUCCUCACAAAGGCCUGCUCUGAUACCCUUCCAUGUCUUGGAGCUGAAGCUCAUUGAUGGUGAAGGGAACUGGGAGCUAUGUUCGAUCCGCCAGUGCGUGAUGCCAUACCUGAGCGACUGA
This 2385-nucleotide ribosomal RNA is filed under the name Triticum aestivum (bread wheat). RNAcentral describes it as "partial small subunit ribosomal RNA". Lineage: Eukaryota; Viridiplantae; Streptophyta; Magnoliopsida; Poales; Poaceae. The record is from RNAcentral.